UGAUGGAAAGUUGAAAAGAACUUUGAAGAGAGGGUUCAACAGUACGUGAAACCGCCACGGGAAAAAACGGAUGGGGCCUCGAAGCGGUGAAAGCGGCUGGAAUUCAGCGGUGCCGGGCUCGGGCCACGCAGCGAAUGUAUCGAUUGCAAAGCGAAUCGCUGUGUGUGCUUCGCCUGCGCACGGUGCACUUUCCUGUCGCAUGACGCUGCGACCGGUCGACGAGUCGCCAACGGUGCUCGCUUUACUGUCCGUCGGACUCAUCUCCCUAGUGGGUUGUCCGACGGUUGGCGAGUUGCCGGCGGUCUCGCGACGACCGUUGUCGAAAAGCCAGGCGCCCGCGUUCAACGCGUCAGCAGAACUCUGACGGCGGCGCCGCGCUCCGCAGCGAGUAGGUCGGCGACCCAUCCGACCCGUCUUGAAACACGGACCAAGGAGUCUAACAUGUGCGCGAGCGAUUGGGUGUCGCACGAGACCCAAACGCGCAAUGAAAGUGAAGGCCUCGGAUUGCCGGGCCGAGGGGCGAUCCGGUCGCAAUUUGCGCGGCCAGCGCAGCCCCGGGACGCGCCGAUCUCAUAGUAGACGGCUCGUACCCCGAGCGUACACGUUGGGACCCGAAAGAUGGUGAACUAUGCCUGGCCAGGACGAAGUCAGAGGAAACUCUGAUGGAGGUCCGUAGCGAUUUUGACGUGCAAAUCAAUCGUCCGAGCUGGGUAUAGGGGCGAAAGACUAAUCGAACCAUCUAGUAGCUGGAUCCAUCCGAAGUUUCCCUCAGGAUAGCUGGCGCUCGCANGACCGAGUUUCAUCCGGUAAAGCGAAUGAUUAGAGGCCUUGGGGCCGAAACGANCUCAACCUAUUCUCAAACUUUAAAUGGGUGAGAAGUCGGGCUUGCUCGACUGAAGCACCGACCNUNGAAUCNAGAGUGCCAAGUGGGCCACUUUUGGUAAGCAGAACUGGCGCUGUGGGAUGAACCAAACGCAGAGUUAAGGUGCCCGAGAGAACGCUCAUCAGAUCCCAUGAAAGGUGUUGGUUGCUAUAGACAGCAGGACGGUGGCCAUGGAAGUCGGAA
This 1066-nucleotide ribosomal RNA is filed under the name Facetotecta sp. Its description in RNAcentral is "partial large subunit ribosomal RNA". It matches the Rfam family "Eukaryotic large subunit ribosomal RNA", at positions 354 to 1266 of the family's 3401-position model. Lineage: Eukaryota; Metazoa; Arthropoda; Thecostraca. The record is from RNAcentral.